Long non-coding RNA from Lagopus leucura (white-tailed ptarmigan), 1716 nucleotides. RefSeq lists it as uncharacterized. Lineage: Eukaryota; Metazoa; Chordata; Aves; Galliformes; Phasianidae. The transcript has 2 exons. The record is from RefSeq and is a predicted model, not a curated record.
CAGAGAUGGUGUGAAGGACCAGGAGGAACAGCAGGGAUCUGAGCCUGUAGACCUGAUAGAUCCCAAAGAGGGAGGAAUUGUGCUCAUAAUGAAGAGGUGGGACUGCAGUGCAAUCAGAGAUCCUCCCGUGCUUUUCUCCCUUCUAAUGCAAUUACUCUAGCUGCAAGAUUUUUGCUCAAGAUACUGAAAAUCCUCCAGCUUAUUUGCAGAAAGCAAUGCAGCAGCAACUGUCAUACAGACGUCCCCAUUGGAGAGAAAUUGCAGUAUGAGCUGAGCCCUGUCAGGAGCUGGUCUUUACAUCGCCUGGCACAGAAGUGUGUGAAACUGAGAACUUUAACUGCCAGAAAGCACUCAAAAUGCUUGCCAGCAAUCAGCUGUGGGUCCUACAACCUUCCUCUAUGUGUGUCACCUUCCUGGGGUGGCAGUGACUGGCAAAGGGGUCAUGCUCUGCCCACACUCCCCAGCUCCAGGCAGGGAUGCAGCAGUGCUCCCCUACCUGGUAGGAUGUCAGAUCAAUGGGAUCACCUCUGUGGGGAAGACCUUGUAAUAGACAAAAGUCGUAGUGUCCUAAUGGCUUCACCAAAGCAGGUUCUUGGCAGUGCAAAGUGAUGGCAAAAUGCACCAGACCCAGAACUCCAGCAUCAGCACAGGACAAGUGGCCUGCUCCUCCUCUGGGUUUUGGUGGACACGCAUCUCAUGGGAAAGGAUGUCUCUGCAGUGCCUGCAAAUGCAAGAAUUCAGCACGCUUUUUUCCUCCACAAACCCUUUCAGUUUCUCCCUAUCAGCACACCCAUGCUGUGGUUAGGGGAGCAUUUCUAGGUGGGUGUACGCGAGGGCAGAGUUGGACCUGUGAUACUUAAGUCAGCCUCAAAUGGGAAUCUGGAGGAGGAGGAGCACGAAUGGAGAUAACACUUCAGCUUAGCUUUGGAAAAUUAGCUUCUUCAUAGAAGACAUAUUAUUUUUUCCAUUUUUCCUAACUGAAUUUGCUGUUGCACAAAGUUGAGUUUGGAAGCAGGCGCGUUUUACUUAAAGGAGGUGAUUCACUGGCCUAAGAUGUCUCCAGGAAACGAUAUGGUGCUGCUUAUAGCAUAGAAUAAAAGAGUAACCUUCCUGCCUGAGGGCACCUCUAGAAAACCAGAUGAAAACUGAAGUCAGUCAGAAAGUCUUGGCUUUGAGGUUUCCUUCUGUCUUCUGCGCUGUAGUUCCUGGGGAAAAGGCUGACCUCUGAGAAUGGAGUCACUUGCAGCCACAGAGAGGUUUGAAGGCUCUGCUCAGUUAGCUGAAAUGCUUCCUCCACACUCUGCUGGAGAGGUGCCUAACAGGCCUUGCUUAAGCAGAUGAAUUAAAAGGACUGAAAGCAGUCAUUGAUGGGGCUCCUUGAUGUAGGUAGAGGAGGAGGGAGCUGCUCUGGCAUUAGGCUGAUGUUUGAGAAAAGCUGAAAGAACCCGUCCAAUUGCUAAGCAAAGCUUCUGGGAAGACUUCAAAAAGAAAAGAAAAAUCAAUUGAAAUCGUCCACUCAUCAGAGAAAAAAAAAUCGUAUUUGCAGAUCUCUGUGCAGCAUGGGGAGCUUUUAUAACAAACACAUGAAGUAUCCUUACAACUGACACUUUCUUACUAGGGCUCAAAACUAAAAAUACUUUGCAACCUACAACAAGUCUUACUGACAGAGGAGACAGUGUUUAAAGCUCAGUAUUUCUGUUUUGGAGCCUUGUAUUA